RNAcentral lists this ribosomal RNA (486 nucleotides) under uncultured bacterium. RNAcentral describes it as "partial 16S ribosomal RNA". It matches the Rfam family "Bacterial small subunit ribosomal RNA", at positions 28 to 524 of the family's 1533-position model. The record is from RNAcentral.
GAUGAACGCUAGCGGCAGGCCUAAUACAUGCAAGUCGAACGGUGUCUUCGGACAUAGUGGCGCACGGGUGCGUAACACGUAUGCAACCUACCUUACAUUGGGGGAUAGCCUUUCGAAAGGGAGAUUAAUACCGCAUAAGACAGUAGCUGGGCAUCCAGCAGCUGUUAAAGAUUUAUCGAUGUAAGCUGGGCAUGCGUCCAAUUAGCUAGUUGGUGAGGUAACGGCUCACCAAGGCAAUGAUUGGUAGGGGAACUGAGAGGUCAAUCCCCCACACUGGCACUGAGAUACGGGCCAGACUCCUACGGGAGGCAGCAGUAGGGAAUAUUGGGCAAUGGACGCAAGUCUGACCCAGCCAUGCCGCGUGCAGGAUGAAGGCGUUAUGCGUUGUAAACUGCUUUUAUACAGGAAGAAACGACUCUUGCGAGAGGCAUUGACGGUACUGUAUGAAUAAGCACCGGCUAACUCCGUGCCAGCAGCCGCCGUUAA